RNAcentral lists this transfer RNA (78 nucleotides) under Caudoviricetes sp. RNAcentral's name for it is "tRNA-OTHER". It matches the Rfam family "tRNA". Rfam says of the family: Transfer RNA (tRNA) molecules are approximately 80 nucleotides in length. The record is from RNAcentral. Lineage: Duplodnaviria; Heunggongvirae; Uroviricota; Caudoviricetes.
UGGGAUAUAGCUCAACGGUGGAGCGAUAUGACUAUCAAGGGUCUGAAACGUAUGCAGGUUCGAUUCCUGCUAUCCCGU